This 440-nucleotide ribosomal RNA is filed under the name uncultured bacterium. RNAcentral's name for it is "bacterial SSU rRNA". It matches the Rfam family "Bacterial small subunit ribosomal RNA", at positions 30 to 466 of the family's 1533-position model. The record is from RNAcentral.
AUUGAACGCUGGCGGCAGGCCUAACACAUGCAAGUCGAAUGGUAACAGGAAACAGCUUGCUGUUUCGCUGACGAGUGGCGGACGGGUGAGUAAUGUCUGGGAAACUGCCUGAUGGAGGGGGAUAACUACUGGAAACGGUAGCUAAUACCGCAUAACGUCGCAAGACCAAAGAGGGGGACCUUCGGGCCUCUUGCCAUCAGAUGUGCCCAGAUGGGAUUAGCUAGUAGGUGGGGUAACGGCUCACCUAGGCGACGAUCCCUAGCUGGUCUGAGAGGAUGACCAGCCACACUGGAACUGAGACACGGUCCAGACUCCUACGGGAGGCAGCAGUGGGGAAUAUUGCACAAUGGGCGCAAGCCUGAUGCAGCCAUGCCGCGUGUAUGAAGAAGGCCUUCGGUUGUAAGUACGUUUCUAGCGGGAGGAAGGGAGUAAGUAUACUU